Molecule: ribosomal RNA, 3186 nt
Filed under: Candidatus Peribacteria bacterium
Lineage: Bacteria; Candidatus Peregrinibacteriota; Candidatus Peribacteria
Description: 23S ribosomal RNA
Rfam family: Bacterial large subunit ribosomal RNA
Source: RNAcentral
UUAAGAGUUUUGAGUGGAUGCCUUGGGUAAAAGUGCCGAAGAAGGACGUAGUUGGGUGCGAAAAGUUCUGGUCAGGUUCCAACAACCGUGAUGAGCCAGAAAUAUCCGAAUGGGGAAACCUGUCCUUAGGGACAUCAUGGCAAGCCUGCGAAGUGAAAUAUCUCAGUAGCAGGAAGAAAGGAAAGCGUAAGCGACUCCCUUAGUAGUGACGAGCGAACAGGGAUCAGCCUAAACCGGUACAGUGUAAGCCUUCAAGCGUUGCUGUAUAACGGGGUAGCGGGAUCAUGAGGAGGUAGUUGAAGAUGCCUCACAGAGUAAGAAAUCAUCAGACUAGUAGAAGGAGCUGAGAACUCCACCAUAGAGGGUUAUAGUCCCGUAUAUGACGGUCAGAUGACUCUGUCAUGUCUCCCAAGUAGCGUCGGACACGAGAAAUCCGGCGUGAAUCUGUGCAGACCACUGCAUAAGGCUAAGUACACUUUUACACCGAUAGCGAAUAGUACCGCGAGGGAAAGGUGAAAAGAACCCCGGGUAGGGGAGUGAAAUAGAUUCUGAAACUCAUAACUUACAACGGGUAGGAGCCCGGCACUUUUAGCUGCUAAGCUAGAUUGCAAUGUAUCGAGUAUAUAUUAUCCAAAACAAUAAUUGAUCACUGUACUAUGGUUAUACACAGGAUAUGGAGAUGAGACUUCAUCAGCACAAUGCUGAUCAGAAUACAUCUACUGCCAAACAAUGACCAUGGAAUAUUGUGUAUUGUGAGUGAUAUCGCACGAAAACAGAAGCAAUUCAUAGAGAACAAUCUAUCAAAAAAUCAGGAAAGAUUAGAUCCUGACUCAAAAGAAGAUUGUGAUUGUUUGGUGACUAAAAGUGCCGGGUGACUGCGUACCUAUUGACGAAUGGGCCAGCGAGUUAAUGCUAGUAGCAAGGUUAAGACAGAUACAGUCGGAGCCGGAGCGAAAGCGAGUCUGAACAGGGCGUUCAGUUGCUAGUAUUAGACCCGAAACAAUAUGAGCUACACAUGGGCAGGUUGACGGUCGGGGGAACCCGGCUAGAGGACCGAACCGGUUGGUGCUGCAAAACCUUCGGAUGACCCGUGUGUUGGAGUGAAAAGCUUAUCGAAUAUUGUGAUAGCUGGUUCUCCCUGAAAUGCAUUUAGGUGCAGCCUGCUAGUUAAGAUCUUACAGGGGUAGGGCUCUGAUAAGGCUAGGGGGAUCGAGAGGUCUUACCAACCCUUGUUAAACUUCGAAUACUGUAAGGAAUCUAGUGGAGUGAGACUGCGGCAGCUAAGUGUCGUAGUCAAAAGGAUAACAGUCCAGACUUCUGACUAAGGUCCCUAAAUUAUAGUUAAGUGGAAAAGGUGGUGUGGUUGCACAGACAUCCAGGAGGUUUGCUUAGAAGCAGCAAUCCUUUAAAGAAAGCGUAACAGCUCACUGGACGAGCGAUCAUGCGCUGAAGAUGUAACGGGGCUCAAACUAUAUACCGAAGUCGAAGACCUCUUUGAGGUGGUAAGGGAGUGUUGUAUACUGGUUGAAGGUGUGCUGUAAGGCUAUCUGGACGGUAUACAAGUAAGAAUGCUGGCAUGAGUAACGACUACAAAUGAAAAUUUUGUACGCAUAAAGCCUAAGGUUUCCUACGCAACGUUCAUCGACGUAGGGUUAGGCGGGACCUAAGGGAAGACCCGAAAGGGGUACCCGAUGGAUAGCCGGUCAAUAUUCCGGCCCUUAAUUAUCAAGUGAUGUGGUGACGCAUUGGGAUGUGUGUGAGCUUUCUAAGGAUGAGAGUUCAAGCAACAAAUUGUAUGAGAUAGGCAAAUCCGUCUCGUAGCUAUCAGUGAGUUGUAUGAUAACUUUGACCUCGGUCAGGGAAAUCACAUAGUUCCGGUGCCAAGAAAAACCGCUAGCGUUAAUUGAUGAUUAACCCGUACUCAGAACCGACACUGGUAGGCAGGUUGAGAAUACCAAUGCGCUCGAGAUAACCAAUUUAUAAGGAACUAGGCAAAUCAGCGGACGUAACUUCGGGAUAAGUCCUGCCCGGCACCGCAAGGAUGCCGGGCCGCAGCGAAAGUCGUGGGGGGAACUGUUUAUCAAAAACACAGCUCUCUGCUAACAUGUAAAUGGAUGUAUAGAGGGUGACGCCUGUCCAAUGCCAGAAUGUUACGCUCUCCGGUUCACGCUUGAGAGUUAAGCACUGGUGAAUGACGGCCGUAACUAUGACGGUCCUAAGGUAGCGAAAUUCCUUGUCAGGUAAGUUCUGACCCGCAUGAAUGGCGCAAUCAUCCCCACACUGUCUCGUGAUUGGUCUCGGUGAAAUUACAUUACCGGUAAAAAUGCCGGUUAGUCGCGGUUAGACGAAAAGACCCUAUGAAGCUUUACUGUAGGUUGAUAUUGUAUUGUAGUAUGUGAUGUUCAGGAUAGGUGGGAGGCUUUGAAGUGCGGACGCUAGUCCGUGUGGAGCCAUCCUUGAGAUACCACCCAUAACAUAUAGCAAUACUAACCUCGCACAGCGAGGAACAGUGUCAGCUAGGCAGUUUACCUGGGGCGGGUGCCUCCUAAAUUGUAACGGAGGCGCACAAAGGUGUGCUUGUGACGGAUGGAAACCGUCGCUGAAGUGUAUUCGCAAAAGCACGCUUGACUGCGAGACUGACAGGUCGAGCAGGUACGAAAGUAGGUGAAAGUGAUCCGGAUCUUCCGAGUGGAAGGGGAUCCGCUCAACGGAUAAAAGUUACUCUGGGGAUAACAGGCUAAUGGGAUCUAAGCGUUCAUAGCGACGAUCCCGUUUGGCACCUCGAUGUCGGCUCGUCGCAUCCUGGGGCUGUAGAAGGUCCCAAGGGUUGGGUUGUUCACCCAUUAAAGCGGGACGCGAGCUGGGUUCAGAACGUCGUGAGACAGUUCGGUCUCUAUCUACCGUGACCGUAAGCAAUUUGAGGAGUGCUGACCUUAGUACGAGAGGACCGGGUUGGACCAGCCUCUGGUGUGCCAGUUGUCGAACCAUCGGCACCGCUGGGUAGCUAUGCUGGGAACUGAUAACCACUGAAAGCAUCUAAGUGGGAAACAUGCUCCAAGAUAAGAUUGCUCAUCUCGUAGCAAUACGAGAGUAAGACCCCCGGGAGACCACCGGGUUGAUAGGCACUAUGUAUACGCAUGGCAACAUGUUGAGCAAAGGUGUACUAAUCGGUCGAGGAACUUAUUG